This is a long non-coding RNA of Hordeum vulgare subsp. vulgare (domesticated barley), 390 nucleotides long. RefSeq lists it as uncharacterized. The transcript is spliced from 2 exons. NCBI's taxonomy places the organism in Eukaryota, Viridiplantae, Streptophyta, Magnoliopsida, Poales, Poaceae. The record is from RefSeq and is a predicted model, not a curated record.
AGAAACAAAAAUCAGAUAUGGAAGGGAAAACUAUUCUUCUCUGCCUUAUGGUGCUUGUGCUUCUAGGAAAUCUAAACCAUGCUCGGAAUUGCCAUACCCAUUGUGCUUUUUGGGAACCAUUUAUUUGUUUUCCUAUGACUUGCCAGGCAACAUGUGAGCAGAAGUGGCGGAAUCUCCUUGAUCACUCCUAUUGUCAUGCGGAUAACAUUUUCGUAAACUCUUGUAUGUGUGUUGUGUGUGAUAAGUGACUAUAUCGAAUUGCACUUUUCCAUCUUGCCAAACAAUGAAGAAUGAUGUCCAGUAAUAAAAUAUUCCAUUGACGUGCAUGUGAUAUUCUAUUUGAUUUUAUUCUGCUCUUCAUAAUCUUAUACUGUAUUUUGAUUUGAAAAA